Molecule: ribosomal RNA, 776 nt
Filed under: uncultured Neocallimastigales
Lineage: Eukaryota; Fungi; Neocallimastigomycota; Neocallimastigomycetes; Neocallimastigales
Description: partial large subunit ribosomal RNA
Rfam family: Eukaryotic large subunit ribosomal RNA
Source: RNAcentral
AGAGAGAGACAUGCGCGCAUAAUCAAUAAGCGGAGGAAAAGAAACUAACAAGGAUUCCCCUAGUAACGGCGAGUGAAGCGGGAAGAGCUCAAAUUUGAAAUCUUAAAGGGUUUCCCUUUACGAAUUGUAGUUUAAAGAAGUGUUUUCUGUUGAGGUUUUGGUAAAAGUUCUUUGGAAUAGGACAUCAUAGAGGGUGAGAAUCCCGUAUUUGACCUUUACUUUCAACUUUGUGAUACACUUUCAAAGAGUCGGAUUGUUUGGGAAUGCAGUCCAAAAUGGGUGGUAAAUUUCAUCUAAAGCUAAAUAUUGGCGAGAGACCGAUAGCGAACAAGUACCGUGAGGGAAAGAUGAAAAGAACUUUGAAAAGAGAGUUAAACAGUACGUGAAAUUGUCAAAAGGGAAGCGUUUGACACCAGUGUUGUUUUUCUGAAAAUCAAUUAAAGAACUGUUUAUGCUAAGCUGUUUAGACUUUAUCAGCUAAUCUGUUUAGUUUUGAGCUUUUCUUUAAUGCACUUUUCAGUUAACAAGUCAACAUCAAUUUCUUUUGCUGUAAAAAAGCUUGAGGAAGGUGGCUUGAGAUUCGUCUUAAGUGUUUAUAGCCUCUUGCCUAUGCAGUCGGAGAGAUUGAGGUCUGCAGCGUAGAUCCUUCGGGGCUAAAUGCAUUUGUGCUAAGUUAUAGCAUUUUAUAGACAACUUGUUGACUAUGAUUUGUCUUGUAGCUUACUCGCUUAUGUUAUUUUACCUACGCUUAGGAUGUUGAGCGCAUGUCUCUCUCU